CCCUUAGAUGUUCUGGGCCGCACGCGCGCUACACUGACGAAUGCAACGAGCUUAUAACCUUGGCCGAAAGGUCUGGGUAAUCUCCAAAUUUCGUCGUGAUGGGGAUAGAUUAUUGCAAUUAUUAAUCUUCAACGAGGAAUUCCUAGUAAUGGUGAAUCAUCAGUUCAUCGUGAUUACGUCCCUGCCCUUUGUACACACCGCCCGUCGCUCCUACCGAUUGAGCAAACCGGUGAAUAGUUUGGACCGUCGGCUUUCUCGGUUCGCCGGGUUAGCAGUGCGGAAAAUUCAGUGAACCUUUUUGCUUAGAGGAAGGAGAAGUCGUANCA
This 326-nucleotide ribosomal RNA is filed under the name uncultured eukaryote. RNAcentral describes it as "partial 18S ribosomal RNA". It matches the Rfam family "Eukaryotic small subunit ribosomal RNA", at positions 1470 to 1796 of the family's 1831-position model. The record is from RNAcentral.